AUGACGUCGGUGGGCACUAACCGAGCCGGGGGAACUGGGAACUACCUCAGAACCAAAACCAGACACAGCCCAAGCAGCGGCCACAGACCACUACAGAGCAAAUUCGACUUGCACAGGUGAUUUCGGAUCAUAAUGAUGCUGACUUUGAGGAGAAGGUGAAACGAUUGAUAUCACAGGCAAAAACUAGGACGCAUGUGUGAUUGCUUUGCAAUGGAGAUGUCAACUGAGCUAUCAAUGUUCUCCUGGAAGGAAAUCCAGACAUGCAUUCCUGGGAGAUGUUUGGGAAGAAGAAAGGAGUCUCAGGACAGAAGGAUGGUGGACAAAUGGAAUCUAAUGAAGAAGGAAAAGAAAACUGAGACCAGGUCAGAGACUAUAGUCGGUGACGUGGUGGGCCACCAAGAUGGGGGUGUGGGGUAGGUGCCAGCCAUGAAUGAGAGUUUCAGGGCCAGGAAAAUGGAUUGGGUGGCACUAAAAGUGGAGGGCCUUCUGGAAGAGGCACAGACAGAGGCAGAAGAGGCCAUGGUAGGUCUGGUAGGCGAGGAGGAAGGUUUUUUGCUCAAGAAAUGGGAACCUGUAGCCCAGCUGACUAUGCAGAGCCAGCCAACACUGAUAACUAUGGCAAAGCAGUGGCCAUACAUGGAACAACACUGGCCCCUCUGAACCAGACUUGAUUUCAUUGGGGUUGAGGGGUCAAAUUAUCCCCGAAAAUGUGAGAUUGCUCCUGGUGCAUGGAGGACGGCAACAGAAGACUGGGGAACUGAAGACUGGAAUGAGGAUCUUUCUGAGACCAAGAUCUUUACCGCCUCUAAUGUGUCUUCAGUGCCUCUGCCUGCGGAGAAUGUGACAAUCACGGCUGGUCAGGGAACUGACCUUGCUCUUCUGUUGGGGAAGACACCAUCUUCAAUGGAAAAUGAUUCAUCUAAUCUGGAUCCAUCUUAGGCUCCUUCCCUGGCUCAGCCUCUGGUGUUUAGUAAUUCGAAGCAGAAUGCCGUAUCACAGCCUGCUUCAGGGAGUACAUUUUCUCGCCAUAGCAUGGUGAGCAUGGAGGGGAAAGGAUUUGGUGAUGUUGUGGAAGCUAAAAGUGGCCGUACAACAGGCUCCCAGUUCUUGGAGCAAUUCAAGACUGUGCAGGCCCUUGCUCAACUGGCAGCUCAACAUUCUCAAUCUACCACCUCCUCUUGGGAUAUGGGUUCAACAACACAAUCUCCAUCACUGGUGCAGUAUGACUUGAAGAGUGCAGAUGAUUCGACAGUGCACAGUCCUUUUACAAAGUGCCAGGCAUUCACCACAUCUUCAACCAUGAUGGCGGUAUCCCUUCAGGAGAAGCUACCCUCAGUGGCUCCCUCCACAGCUGCACCACCUCCCCCCUCUUCUCUUCUGCCAAGCAAAUCCACCUCAGCUCCACAGAUGUCUCUGGGGUCUUCAGACAACCAGUCCUUGAGCCCUCAGCCGGCUCAGCAGAAACUGAAACAGCAAAAGAAGAAAACCUUCCUGACAUCCAAGAUUCCUGCUCUGGCUGUGGAGAUGCCUGGCUCAGCAGAUAGCUCAGGGCUAAAUCUGCAGUUUGGGUCAGAGCCUGUCCUUUCUGAUUAUGAGUCCACCCCCACCACGAGCGUCUCCUCAAGCCAGGCUCCUAGUAGCCUGUAUACCAGCACAGCCAGUGAGUCUUUAUCUACAGUUUCAUCUAUUCGGAGUCAGGAGUCUGGUUAUCAGAGUGGCCCGAUUCAGUUGACAACUUACACCUCCCAAAAUAACGCUCAGGGCCCUGAAUAUGAACAGAGAUCCACACAGACAUGGCAGUAUCCCAGCUCCAUCUCUUCAUCACCCCAAAAGGACCUGACUCAGGCUAAGAAUGGUUUCAGCUCUGUGCAGGUCAUGCAGUUAGACCUUGCAAGCUGUUGAAGGGGCUACAAGCUCUGCAGUGAAAUCUGAAUCACCUUCCACUUCCAGUUUCCCCUCUCUCAGUGAAACAGUACCUGCAGCUUCCUCACUGACAACAGCCAAUCAGCAAUCAUGCUCCUUAAGUGACUUGAGCUGCUUAAGGAGACUCCAAAUAACACUACCACACAACAUAGCAGUGUAUCAUCUACACAGCAGAAUGCCCUUUCAUCAUCAGCAUCUUCUGGGCAUGCUUUGACAUCCACUCUUGCAUACAAGUGUGGAGAGGGAGGUAAAUCUACGUUUUUCCUCCAGCACUUUCUCUACCACUGUCUUUGCAGUGGUACUGUCUGCAGGCACUGUCUUUGCACCUCCCCCACUGGUCAGUGUCUCCUCCAGUCUGAAUGGUGGCAGCUGUCUGGGCCUUAGCCUGGGCAGCAACUCUACUGUCACAGCCUCAACUUGAAGCUCAGUUGCUACAACUUCAGGAAAAGCUCCUCCCGACCUUCCCCCUGGAGUCCCGUCAUUGUUGCCUAAUCCAUAUAUCAUGGCUCCGGCCGGCCGGGGCUGUUGCAUGCCUACCCGCCACAAGUGUGUGGUUAUGUUGAUUUACAGAUGCUCCAGACAGGAUUCCCAUUGGAUUACUACAGUAGUCCGUUUCUCACACCCACCACUCCACUUACUGGAAGGGAUGGUAGCCUGGCUAGCCACCCUUACUCUGGCGACCUCACCAAAUUUGGCUGUGGGGAUGCUUCCUCCCCACUCCAGCCACAACCUUGGUCCAACCCCAACAGAACCAGACGCAGACUCAUCACACCACACAGCAGACAUUCCUGAACCCGGCGCUGCCUCUUGGCUAUAGGUACGCCAGCCUGCCAUACUACACAGGGGUCCCGGGCCUCCCCAGCACCUUCCAGUAUGGGCCUGCUGUGUUCCCUGUGGCUCCUACCUCUUCCAAGAGCAUGGUGUGAAUGUCAGUGUGAAUGCCUUGGCUACCCCUUUCCAACAGCCAAGUGGAUAUGGGUCUCAUGGACACAACACUGGUCUAUCAGUCACCUCUAAUAACAUGAGCAUGCCAGAUAUCUCGGGUUCUGUGUACUCCAAAACCCAGUCUUUGAGAAACAAGAGUUUCAUUCCGGUACUCCUGCUGCCUCCUUCAACUUGCCUUCAGUCCUAGGAAGUGGAGGGCCCAUCAAUCCAGCCACAGCUGCUACCUACCCACCUGCCCCCUUUAUGCAUAUUCUGACCCCACAUCAGCAACCACACUCUCAGAUCCUUCACCAUCACCUGUAGCAGAAUGGCCAGAUGGGCAGUGGGCAACGUAGCCAGACCAGCUCCAUCCUGCAGAAGCCCCAGACCACCAACAAGUCUGCCUACAACAGCUACAGCUGGGGGGUCAACUUAGGACCUGACCCUCUUCUCCUAUCCCAUCUUCUGAGAGGGCUUCUCAGGUUUAAACUAUGGAAACAGCAUCAAAGAGAGAAAAGAAUUUAG
Mus caroli (Ryukyu mouse) is the source of this 3372-nucleotide non-coding RNA. The record is from RefSeq and is a predicted model, not a curated record. NCBI's taxonomy places the organism in Eukaryota, Metazoa, Chordata, Mammalia, Rodentia, Muridae.